CCUACGGGUGGCAGCAGUGAGGAAUAUUGGUCAAUGGGCGGAAGCCUGAACCAGCCAAGUAGCGUGCAGGAUGAAGGCCCUACGGGUUGUAAACUGCUUUUAUACGGGAAUAACGCGCCUUACGUGUAGGGCUUUGCAUGUAUCGUAUGAAUAAGGACCGGCUAAUUCCGUGCCAGCAGCCGCGGUAAUCCGGAUGGUCCGGGUGUUAUCCGGAUUUAUUGGGUUUAAAGGGUGCGUAGACCGCAUGUCAAGCGUGCUGUGAAAUGUCCGGGCUCAACCCGGGCCUUGCAGCGCGAACUGGCGUGCUGGAGUCCGCGGAAGGCAGGCGGAAUGCGUCGUGUAGCGGUGAAAUGCUUAGAUAUGACGAAGAACCCCGGUGGCGAAGGCGGCUUGCUGCAGCGGAACUGACGCUGAUGCUCGAAAGCGCGGGUAUCGAACAGGAUUAGAUACCCUUGUAGUC
Molecule: ribosomal RNA, 460 nt
Filed under: uncultured bacterium
Lineage: Bacteria
Description: partial 16S ribosomal RNA
Rfam family: Bacterial small subunit ribosomal RNA
Source: RNAcentral